CUGUGCUCUGAAGGUACUGUGUUUAAAGAAGCACGAGUUUCAACCACAAGAAAGAUGGGCUACUGAAGAUGUAGAACAUAAUGAGCAAUGCCCAGCUCAAGAUAUGAACAUCCCAAGGAUGCUUGAACAAUCGUUGAGAGACAAAUUGAACAUCUUGCAAACAAGCAAAAUGAGGGACCAUGCAGAAGAUCAUUGUAAUAUUUUUUCUUUUGGUUUGGAAAAAGUAUGUUGGUGGAUCCUUUUUGCAACGAUUGUAAGCAGCACAUUGUCAGGUUUUCAUUUGAAAUUCUGGAGGAAGAAAACGCUGAAGCUAGUUCAUCUGGAGCCAGUGCCUGAGCAUUGGCACCAACUGUUGCAGCUGAAGCAGCAACAGCUACCACAGAGUCAUCCUAAGGGUGCUGGAAAGUGGAG
This 411-nucleotide unclassified non-coding RNA is filed under the name Hevea brasiliensis (rubber tree). Lineage: Eukaryota; Viridiplantae; Streptophyta; Magnoliopsida; Malpighiales; Euphorbiaceae. The record is from RNAcentral.